This 453-nucleotide ribosomal RNA is filed under the name Triticum aestivum (bread wheat). Its description in RNAcentral is "partial small subunit ribosomal RNA". Lineage: Eukaryota; Viridiplantae; Streptophyta; Magnoliopsida; Poales; Poaceae. The record is from RNAcentral.
AUGGGACAUUUGUACAAUCCACAUAUGAAGAUAAGGAAGAAAGAGAUGUUUAUUUGCUGUCCAAAAAGUUCUCUCACGUCACUUUUGGCCCAAGAGAAGAUAGAGUCCGAGUCUCUCACGUUCUGGAUUCAGAUUCGGACUGCACAGACAUACCUGACUCAAAACGCACACAAGUUUUUCAUACGGACUCCGAAUUGGGUGAUUUUUUUUUUGUUGGAAACUAGAUUUCGUGCACUUUCCAACCCAAUUGGAAUCACCUUCAAAUUCGUCCGGAGCGUUGAGUUGUGGACGAAACAAUCUGAUGCUGCAGCAGAAUCCGAGUCAAACUACAAGUCCAAAGGUGUUACAUCACCUCCACUUGGGCCCAUUGGCCUUGUACGACCUAGAUUUAGUUUUAGGCUGCCUUGGGACGUCCUCCCACCUCCUUGGCCGCCACCCCUUGCUCCUAUAUAA